This 253-nucleotide ribosomal RNA is filed under the name uncultured bacterium. RNAcentral's name for it is "partial 16S ribosomal RNA". It matches the Rfam family "Bacterial small subunit ribosomal RNA", at positions 524 to 776 of the family's 1533-position model. The record is from RNAcentral.
UACGUAGGGUGCAAGCGUUGUCCGGAAUUAUUGGGAGUAAAGGGCUCGUAGGCGGUUUGUCGCGUCGGGAGUGAAAACUCAGGGCUUAACCCUGAGCCUGCUUCCGAUACGGGCAGACUAGAGGUAUGCAGGGGAGAAUGGAAUUCCUGGUGUAGCGGUGAAAUGCGCAGAUAUCAGGAGGAACACCGGUGGCGAAGGCGGUUCUCUGGGCAUUACCUGACGCUGAGGUGCGAAAGCGUGGGGAGCAAACAGG